GGGUUGUGAGGUUAAGCGACUAAGCGUACACGGUGGAUGCCCUGGCAGUCAGAGGCGAUGAAGGACGUGCUAAUCUGCGAUAAGCGUCGGUAAGGUGAUAUGAACCGUUAUAACCGGCGAUUUCCGAAUGGGGAAACCCAGUGUGAUUCGUCACACUAUCAUUAACUGAAUCCAUAGGUUAAUGAGGCGAACCGGGGGAACUGAAACAUCUAAGUACCCCGAGGAAAAGAAAUCAACCGAGAUUCCCCCAGUAGCGGCGAGCGAACGGGGAGCAGCCCAGAGCCUGAAUCAGUGUGUGUGUUAGUGGAAGCGUCUGGAAAGGCGUGCGAUACAGGGUGACAGCCCCGUACACAAAAAUGCACAUAUUGUGAGCUCGAUGAGUAGGGCGGGACACGUGGUAUCCUGUCUGAAUAUGGGGGGACCAUCCUCCAAGGCUAAAUACUCCUGACUGACCGAUAGUGAACCAGUACCGUGAGGGAAAGGCGAAAAGAACCCCGGCGAGGGGAGUGAAAAAGAACCUGAAACCGUGUACGUACAAGCAGUGGGAGCACGCUUAGGCGUGUGACUGCGUACCUUUUGUAUAAUGGGUCAGCGACUUAUAUUCUGUAGCAAGGUUAACCGAAUAGGGGAGCCGAAGGGAAACCGAGUCUUAACUGGGCGUUAAGUUGCAGGGUAUAGACCCGAAACCCGGUGAUCUAGCCAUGGGCAGGUUGAAGGUUGGGUAACACUAACUGGAGGACCGAACCGACUAAUGUUGAAAAAUUAGCGGAUGACUUGUGGCUGGGGGUGAAAGGCCAAUCAAACCGGGAGAUAGCUGGUUCUCCCCGAAAGCUAUUUAGGUAGCGCCUCGUGAAUUCAUCUCCGGGGGUAGAGCACUGUUUCGGCAAGGGGGUCAUCCCGACUUACCAACCCGAUGCAAACUGCGAAUACCGGAGAAUGUUAUCACGGGAGACACACGGCGGGUGCUAACGUCCGUCGUGAAGAGGGAAACAACCCAGACCGCCAGCUAAGGUCCCAAAGUCAUGGUUAAGUGGGAAACGAUGUGGGAAGGCCCAGACAGCCAGGAUGUUGGCUUAGAAGCAGCCAUCAUUUAAAGAAAGCGUAAUAGCUCACUGGUCGAGUCGGCCUGCGCGGAAGAUGUAACGGGGCUAAACCAUGCACCGAAGCUGCGGCAGCGACGCUUAUGCGUUGUUGGGUAGGGGAGCGUUCUGUAAGCCUGUGAAGGUGUGCUGUGAGGCAUGCUGGAGGUAUCAGAAGUGCGAAUGCUGACAUAAGUAACGAUAAAGCGGGUGAAAAGCCCGCUCGCCGGAAGACCAAGGGUUCCUGUCCAACGUUAAUCGGGGCAGGGUGAGUCGACCCCUAAGGCGAGGCCGAAAGGCGUAGUCGAUGGGAAACAGGUUAAUAUUCCUGUACUUGGUGUUACUGCGAAGGGGGGACGGAGAAGGCUAUGUUGGCCGGGCGACGGUUGUCCCGGUUUAAGCGUGUAGGCUGGUUUUCCAGGCAAAUCCGGAAAAUCAAGGCUGAGGCGUGAUGACGAGGCACUACGGUGCUGAAGCAACAAAUGCCCUGCUUCCAGGAAAAGCCUCUAAGCAUCAGGUAACAUCAAAUCGUACCCCAAACCGACACAGGUGGUCAGGUAGAGAAUACCAAGGCGCUUGAGAGAACUCGGGUGAAGGAACUAGGCAAAAUGGUGCCGUAACUUCGGGAGAAGGCACGCUGAUAUGUAGGUGAAGUCCCUUGCGGAUGGAGCUGAAAUCAGUCGAAGAUACCAGCUGGCUGCAACUGUUUAUUAAAAACACAGCACUGUGCAAACACGAAAGUGGACGUAUACGGUGUGACGCCUGCCCGGUGCCGGAAGGUUAAUUGAUGGGGUCAGCGCAAGCGAAGCUCUUGAUCGAAGCCCCGGUAAACGGCGGCCGUAACUAUAACGGUCCUAAGGUAGCGAAAUUCCUUGUCGGGUAAGUUCCGACCUGCACGAAUGGCGUAAUGAUGGCCAGGCUGUCUCCACCCGAGACUCAGUGAAAUUGAACUCGCUGUGAAGAUGCAGUGUACCCGCGGCAAGACGGAAAGACCCCGUGAACCUUUACUAUAGCUUGACACUGAACAUUGAGCCUUGAUGUGUAGGAUAGGUGGGAGGCUUUGAAGUGUGGACGCCAGUCUGCAUGGAGCCGACCUUGAAAUACCACCCUUUAAUGUUUGAUGUUCUAACGUGGACCCGUGAUCCGGGUUGCGGACAGUGUCUGGUGGGUAGUUUGACUGGGGCGGUCUCCUCCUAAAGAGUAACGGAGGAGCACGAAGGUUGGCUAAUCCUGGUCGGACAUCAGGAGGUUAGUGCAAUGGCAUAAGCCAGCUUGACUGCGAGCGUGACGGCGCGAGCAGGUGCGAAAGCAGGUCAUAGUGAUCCGGUGGUUCUGAAUGGAAGGGCCAUCGCUCAACGGAUAAAAGGUACUCCGGGGAUAACAGGCUGAUACCGCCCAAGAGUUCAUAUCGACGGCGGUGUUUGGCACCUCGAUGUCGGCUCAUCACAUCCUGGGGCUGAAGUAGGUCCCAAGGGUAUGGCUGUUCGCCAUUUAAAGUGGUACGCGAGCUGGGUUUAGAACGUCGUGAGACAGUUCGGUCCCUAUCUGCCGUGGGCGCUGGAGAACUGAGGGGGGCUGCUCCUAGUACGAGAGGACCGGAGUGGACGCAUCACUGGUGUUCGGGUUGUCAUGCCAAUGGCACUGCCCGGUAGCUAAAUGCGGAAGAGAUAAGUGCUGAAAGCAUCUAAGCACGAAACUUGCCCCGAGAUGAGUUCUCCCUGACUCCUUGAGAGUCCUGAAGGAACGUUGAAGACGACGACGUUGAUAGGCCGGGUGUGUAAGCGCAGCGAUGCGUUGAGCUAACCGGUACUAAUGAACCGUGAGGCUUAACCUUACAACGCCGAAG
RNAcentral lists this ribosomal RNA (2925 nucleotides) under Escherichia coli. RNAcentral describes it as "bacterial LSU rRNA". It matches the Rfam family "Bacterial large subunit ribosomal RNA". The record is from RNAcentral. Lineage: Bacteria; Pseudomonadati; Pseudomonadota; Gammaproteobacteria; Enterobacterales; Enterobacteriaceae.